Pseudophryne corroboree (corroboree frog) is the source of this 1574-nucleotide long non-coding RNA. RefSeq lists it as uncharacterized. The transcript has 2 exons. Lineage: Eukaryota; Metazoa; Chordata; Amphibia; Anura; Myobatrachidae. The record is from RefSeq and is a predicted model, not a curated record.
UAUAAUCUCUCAUCUAGGCAGUUUACUGCCAUUCCAUCUUGGAAGCUUCAACAGAAGAUCUCGAGUUACCAAUUUGCCUACAAUUUCUUACAACUCAAUGGCACCCCGCACACCAAAGAAGCCCGCAGGCCGCAAACGGAGAAGAAGAUCCACCAUCCGCCGCAGACAGAAACGCCAGGCUGCCGUGGCGGAGGAAACCCUGGUGGAAUACCUGCGCCGGGCAUAUAAGAUGCUGCCCGCAUACCAGGCACAACAAAAACAGUAGCCUGCAGACUGUGAGGCCUCAGGGGCUAGCCCAGCUGGUGGCCCACUAAUACCUGGUCACCAUGGAGGCCUUGUGGUGGUACAUUAGAUUAGGCUAAGAGUAGUCAGGGGGAAAAAAAGUAACAUCAAAAAAAAUAAUUAACAUAAAAAAAAAAAAAAAACAACAACUCUGCUAAAAAAAAUUCAAAAAGUGUUAGUGGUAAUUGUAGCUAGAAGCUUCUUUUUUUUUUCAUUAAUGUUUUCAUGAAAAGGAAAAUGGAAUCUCAUAUUAAUGCUGUGAUACAUUGCUAUCUAUCCAAUAUAUUCCAGUAGAUAGCAAUGUUUCUCAGCAUUAAUAUGGAAUCUGAUAUUAAUGCUGUGAAAUGUUGCUAUCUACUGGAAUAUAUUGGAUAGAUAGCAAUGUAUCACAGCAUUAAUAUGUUAUUCCAUUUUCCUUUUCAUGAAAACAUUAAUGGGGGUUUUUUUAUGUUAAAACCAGUUAUUGCGUUUCCCAACAACUGGUUUAAUCAUAAAUAAUCCCACCCCUUUACCUUACCACCUCAGUCUGAGUCACCUGGCAAAGACAAAAGAUCCAGGAGCUGAAACACCAGCGCUUACCACCUCAGUCUGAGUCACCUGGCAAAGAAAAAAGAUCCAGGAGCUGAAACACCAGCGCUUACCACCUCAGUCUGAGUCACCUGGCAAAGAAAAAAGAUCCAGGAGCUGAAACACCAGCGCUUACCACCUCAGUCUGAGUCACCUGGCAAAGAAAAAAGAUCCAGGAGCUGAAACACCAGCGCUUACCACCUCAGUCUGAGUCACCUGGCAAAGAAAAAAGAUCCAGGAGCUGAAACACCAGCGCUUACCACCUCAGUCUGAGUCACCUGGCAAAGAAAAAAGAUCCAGGAGCUGAGAUACCAGCGCUUACCACCUCAGUCUGAGUCACCUGGCAAAGAAAAAAGAUCCAGGAGCUGAGAUACCAGCGCUUACCACCUCAGUCUGAGUCACCUGGCAAAGAAAAAAGAGAUCCAGGAGCUGAGACACCAGCGCUUACCGCCUCAGUCUGAGUCACCUGGCAAAGAAAAAAAGAUCCAGGAGCUGAGACACCAGCGCUUACCACCUCAGUCUGAGUCACCUGGCAAAGAAAAAAAGAUCCAGGAGCUGAGACACCAGCGCUUACCACCUCAGUCUGAGUCACCUGGCAAAGAAAUAGAACAUACUGUAAAGAGCCAGGAGUUGAAAUACUACCUCCCACCAUGCAACUGAAUGACUACUCCGUUGGUGUCACCUGGAAAAUUAUCUAAAUAAAAAACAAAUAAACAAAAAAAAAA